GACGAACGCUGGCGGCGUGCUUAACACAUGCAAGUCGAACGGUAAGGCCCUUCGGGGUACACGAGUGGCGAACGGGUGAGUAACACGUGGGUGAUCUGCCCUGCACUUCGGGAUAAGCCUGGGAAACUGGGUCUAAUACCGGAUAGGACCAUUGCCUGCAUGGGUGGUAGCGGAAAGCUUUUGCGGUGUGGGAUGGGCCCGCGGCCUAUCAGCUUGUUGGUGGGGUGAUGGCCUACCAAGGCGACGACGGGUAGCCGGCCUGAGAGGGUGACCGGCCACACUGGGACGGAGAUACGGCCCAGACUCCUACGGGAGGCAGCAGUGGGGAAUAUUGCACAAUGGGCGCAAGCCUGAUGCAGCGACGCCGCGUGAGGGAUGACGGCCUUCGGGUUGUAAACCUCUUUCAGCACCGACGAAGCGCAAGUGACGGUAGGUGCAGAAGAAGGACCGGCCAACUACGUGCCAGCCGCCGCCGUAA
RNAcentral lists this ribosomal RNA (478 nucleotides) under uncultured bacterium. Its description in RNAcentral is "partial 16S ribosomal RNA". It matches the Rfam family "Bacterial small subunit ribosomal RNA", at positions 28 to 523 of the family's 1533-position model. The record is from RNAcentral.